Molecule: long non-coding RNA, 469 nt
Filed under: Rattus norvegicus (Norway rat)
Lineage: Eukaryota; Metazoa; Chordata; Mammalia; Rodentia; Muridae
Description: long non-coding RNA NONRATT007348
Source: RNAcentral
ACCCAUCCGAGGAGUUAGGCAGGCGGGACGCCCUCGGGGACGGUGCUGUAGCUGGGGUUAGUGGUGAGGGACAAGGAGAGGUGCAUACCGGGCGGGUGCUCGGAUCGUAGUUUCGGAAAGCCCUCGGUCGAACCAGCGCGUCCAAAGCGGCACUCAGGAUGGUCCAGCGUUUGACAUACCGUCGUAGGCUUUCCUACAAUACAGUCUCUAACAAAACUAGGCUGUCUCGAACCCCUGGCAACAGGAUUGUUUACCUUUACACCAAGAAGGUUGGGAAAGCACCUAAAUCCGCAUGUGGCGUAUGCCCAGGCAGACUGCGAGGAGUUCGUGCUGUGAAACCCAAAGUCCUUAUGAGAUUAUCUAAGACAAAGAAGCGUCAGCAGGGCCUAUGGUGGCUCCAUGUGUCCCAAGUGUGUCCGUGACAGGAUCAAGCGGGCUUUCCUUAUCGAGCAGCAGAAAAUCGUUGUGA